Molecule: long non-coding RNA, 666 nt
Filed under: Ananas comosus (pineapple)
Lineage: Eukaryota; Viridiplantae; Streptophyta; Magnoliopsida; Poales; Bromeliaceae
Description: long non-coding RNA (ACOM_LNC013721)
Source: RNAcentral
UCUCUGUCUACUCGGACAGAGUCUCCUUUGUAUUUGCACGGCGUACCAACAACAACAUCAGGAUCACAACAACAACCUACAUUUUUCAAUCCACAAGCAAUUUAUGUCAUGCAUUUUCAUAUAGCUAGCGAUCCUUAGAAAUGAUGCAUGCCUCUAAACACUCCUUAGGCGCUUGAUGAUGCGAUGCACAAUACAACAGUCAUCCUAUUUAAAAGUGCUCCCCAACCGGAAGCUUUGUUUUUAAACUCUAUUCAAUCAUUGAUAAAAACCAUUCGAAAAUCUUUUUAAAACUGUUUUCCACUCGGAAACUCUAAUUUGGAAACCAACUACCUCGAGGGGUAGAAAACCACAAUGCAUAAGUCUUAAUACCAAAGAUACAUAAAUCUCCAAUUAUUCAAUAAAUUUCGUUUGCAUGCAUAAUAGGAAAUCACGAACUCAAACAGUUCGCAAAUACUCAAACAUUCAGAGUGAUCAUCUAACUGAACCAUUUAAUUAUUUAAACUAAAAAAUGCAAAAAUAAAAUAUAACCAGGAUGACGGUCGCUACUGCAGUCUAGCUAGUACGUCCUCCUGUCGUGUUCAAAAGCCAACUCCUUACCCGAAUCACCUGAAAAAAUAGGAGGUGAGAAACUACAAUCAAGGUUUUCCAGUAGGUACGAUAGAGCCA